Non-coding RNA from Coturnix japonica (Japanese quail), 6353 nucleotides. NCBI's taxonomy places the organism in Eukaryota, Metazoa, Chordata, Aves, Galliformes, Phasianidae. The record is from RefSeq and is a predicted model, not a curated record.
UUGGGGUGGCGUUGCCGUUGCCGUGGCGACGCGGUGCGACAUGGCGGCGGACGGGCCGGGCACGUGGCAGCGGCUGUGCGCAGAGUGUGAAGCAGAACAGCGUCUGUUUCCAGACAUUCCUGAAUCGAUGUGGGAAUCUGUGAGCAUAGUUCAAAAUCUUCAUAAGGUGAGUUUGGACACAGGAAUGUUGCAGCCAUUGUAUACAGAACAAUUUUACCCAUCCCCUGCAGCUGAUGCAGUUGUCCAACAGUUGCUUCCCAUACCCAACGCAGACCCCCUUCCACAAGCGCCUGAUCCAAAAACAUUGUUUUGUGCAGGUUCUUCUCAAGAAUAUUUAGAGUACUACAUAUUUCCAGUCCUCUUACCCGGAAUGAUUGAACUUCUGCAUCAAGCAAAGAAGGAAAAGUGCUUUGAGAGAAAAAGGACCAAAUUUAUUGCCUGUGAUUUCCUAACGGAGUGGUUAUACAACAACAACCCGAGGAGGAAAGAUGAGUCAUUCACGGAGUUCUUUUCCAUCCCUUUUGUUCAGGACUGGCUAAAGGACCAUCCCAGGCAGCCAUUUCCUCUGUCUUUCUUCCUGUCAGAAGAAGAAGCAAGCAUAAUAAUUCAGGCAUUCUGGAGAGGUUAUCGGGUCCGCUGUGAUACGGAAGUACAAGAGCUGCGUGAGUGGCAAAAGCAGUUCAGAGAUGAAAAAAUCAUUUCUGAGACAGUGGGAAAAUUCUGGGCUGAGCAGGAAGCCAAAGAUCCAGUCACAUACAGGAUCAACAGGCAAAAAUCAAAAGGCCAAGGAGCUUUGAACAAAUGUCAGCUGCCAUCCAAAGAGGAGACUUUUGAAGCUGCUGCUAAAACACAUGGAGAGAAAAUACCUUCCUAACCCAACACUGUCACACGUGAGCGCUCUUUUCCUUCGUGCCUGCUCUGCAUCCAGAGGAAACAUGAAGACCCAGGGAAAACAAGGAUAUGUCGAGAUGAAUAAAGAGGGCAGGAUACAAAUCCUGGAGUUCUCAUUGGUUGGCAGCAUCGAGGAGACAGUGAGAUUUGUGUGGCUGCUGCAAGAGGGUUUCUCUCUAACUGCUGCUGGUGUCACACAUUGCUCCUUGUGGUGCAAAGGACUACCUGGUGGGGCCGAGUCACCAAGCAUGGAUGGAGAGGAGAAGGGGAAAUGAAAAAAGGGAAGAAGAGAAUUGAAAUUGCCAUGAAGCAAGAGGAGGAUGGUAGGAAGGACAUGGACCUUGUGUCUGGCCUGAGGACUUAUUGACUUGAAUCUGUGUUUGCUUUAUUCUAAGUACUUUUAUUUAUAUCUAUGCUCAUCUUGCACCUACACUGAGAUGUAAAGAUAUCGGGGUUGUCUUCAUUUUUUUCUUUGUCACAUCUCUGGAGAGGUCAGGAAACUGCACUCAGGAGCUUUGCUGGCCUUCCUUUUUAUUGGUGUGCUACGUGAGAAAUAUUGCCCCCUGUGGUGGACUGUCUGUACAUAUAAGCACACGUAGAUAACAUUUACAUCCUGACAGAAGGGGGAACAGCAGCCCCUCUCUAUGAACUGCCCGGGCUCUUCUGUUGCUAAGUCUGUCCCCCAUUGCUCAGCCAGCAGCUCUAAGCAGCUCUGCAACAGUCUGACAAGAGAAGGACGCUGCUCAACCUUUAGACAUUACACGCUGAGAUGGUCCUGUUUUAUGUAACUGCAGACAGCAGUAAUUCUGUGAAUGGAAACUGAGAAGUCUUCCUCUUUUAUAAAACAUCCAGAUUUCAUGGAGUUUUGUUGCAAAGGAAACUAUGGUUCCAUGAGUCUGUGAGAAGCUUGUGCUACAAAUACAUUCAUGGCGACUGUCCUCAGCUCACUUGGCAUUACACAGGGGUGUUGCUGCCUGAAAGCACAUCUAAGCAAACCCUCCAGCUCACUGCUGUGCAUUACACUGACAUUUUAAAGAGGAGAUUCUUUUUUUCUGUAUUUUUUUUUCAUCUGCUUUUUAAUGCACAUCUUUAAAAAAGGAAAUUUCUUGUUCUUUGAAUUUUCUCGUUGAUCAUGUCUGGAGAAAAGCCCUGGCACUGCAGAAGCUCAGACAGGCCAUGUGUGUAUUUCUUGUUACAGCCUGUUUCUGUGAAAUGGGAGCAUUAAUUCACUUCAUUCCUGUGCUUGGGCACAAACAGCCUUCAGUUGUUGUCAGACAUCUCGGGGUGCCUGGGUGCAUCCCUUACAAAAACAGCGUGUUAAAAUAGAUAAAUAAAUGCAGAGGAUAAAGUCUGAAACUUCCACUGAAUCUGGUGAAAAUGGAUAUUUUGAGCAAUUUAGAGUCCGAUUUCAAAUGCAUGUCAGGAGAGACUCUGAUCUGGUGGAUUAAUAGAGGACGCUGAGUCUCAGUUCCCCCCUCUGCUGGAGGGGGAAAGGAUAAUGCUACAGGAAGGAUAAUGCUAUUUACCUCCCUGCGGGGUUACUUCUCCACCCACUGCUCAUGUUCUGCUGUACAAGAGUAAAAUGCUUCAAGGCCAUUCAUUCAGUGUCAAGAUGCAGGAAACCUCUGAAUCGGAGCUGAGCAGACCCUGGAGGCAGCUCCUUAACACCGGCAGAGAACAGCCACAGCCUUUCCAUUUCAUUGAGAAUUUCAGCCUUUACCCGAAAUGCUCCUUUUGAAAUUUCUGAAUGCAAAGCUGGAGAAAUCCCCCCGGCUUCCUUCUCUGUGAUCCACCCACGCUUCUCAGUAACUGAUUUCCUUGAAGCUGGUGAUAUCUGUAUUCGGGCAGGAGGUGGUUUGGGAGCAGUGUCUGUGGGCACCCUGCAGCCUCCCCAGCCCCAUCCAUCACUGUGUUGAUCUCAUGCAGAUAUUCCCUCAUCACGAAGACAGAUUUGCUUUAAAAGUGCUCGUUUUCUAGUACAUUUACUUUGCACCCAGACAUGACACAAGUUCAUGUUGGUUUUGAGGGUAAAUAAAGGGCAAUGAGGACUUGAGCCCCAAAAUGUAUCCUAUGAGUUCUAUCCCUGCAGUGCGCAUUCAUUUUAAUGGUCCUUGCUGUGUGUUUUAUUGAAGGCUGAGUCAUAAGCAGAUCUUACUGCUUUGGAGGGAAGGAAAUGGAGUUUGGGCAAAAACAUUACAUGUCUCAAAUCCAGUAAAGAGACUGCUCAAGCUGUGAAAACACAAUGAUGUAUCUCAAUGAGAAGAGUCAGAUAGAAAUUCCUUCUUUGUGUUAUAGAUUUCAUCACCUGAAGUUUAUCUGAACUCUGAUUUUUCUGGUGACAGGGCCAUCACAAUGAGGGGGGUGGAUUCUGCUCCUGUCCCUCCCUUCAAAAACUCAGGUCUGUGGGCAGCAGGGCUUCCUCCCGGGGUCCCACAUUUCUGUAUUACAAUGAGAAACUUCUGCUCACCUCUUGGAGCUGAUUUCUGCACACAGCUGUGAUUGAGACUCAGUAUGGUAAAGGCAAAGCAUUUCUGGCUGAGGUCAUUGGGAAAGAUGAGAGGAGCUCCAUUACAGCAGCACCUGUGGGGUACAGGACAGUCCCUUUGGAGAUGGCCUUAGGAGCUCUGCCUUGUGCUGGUGAGGAGCCACACGAGCUGGGCUGUGCAGCUUGGGAGGAGGUGCUGCACCUGCUGGGCAAAUAGCUGUGCCCCCAUGUUAGAAGUUACCCUCAUCUCAUGCCAUGAGUAAGACUGGACUGCAGUGCAGUGAAAGAGAUGCCCUUUGUGAAGAACAGUAUCCUUUAUUUUUCUGUUUGUUUUUUUUUUUUUUUCUCACUAAAUCUGUUCAUAUUCUAUAAGGAAGAAACUGUAUCAAGUGCUAUCUCCGUUCAGAGGGAAGAUAUGGGAGACAGGCAGGGAUCAAACAGGGAGCGCAGCCCAGCAGCAGGAACAGCUUGGACACAGAGAUCAAGAAACUGCCAGGAGUGUGGAGGAGGCAGCUGGGCUGAGGGCUGCCCAGGGUGCCACAUGGAAAGGCACAACUGGCUGCAGCUCAGAACGUCCCUGACUUGCAGCCAAGCCUUGAAGUAGGUUCUGCAGGGAGCUGCGUGUUCAGUCACUGGUAGUUUGACUUUGAGUUUGUUCGGAAAGGUACAUUUCUUGAUUAGUUUGUGUGUGGGCACGAUGCCUUUCCUCUUCAGGUAUCUGCCCAGGACUUCACAGAGUGAGUGGGAAAUGUGUGGUCCCCAUGCUGGUGCAGCACCCAGGGGUUCUGUGGGAGGUUGUUGAAGAGUUGCCCAGGGGACCCAGCUCUCCUAACCCCAGCUCAGCUCCCACCCUGUGGUGCCUGGGAGCUCCCCUGCUGGGAGCACUGUCUCACAGUGGGGCAGUUGUGCUGUGCUGUGGCUGAGCUGUUGCAUUAUUUCAGGGUGACAUAUAGAAGAACACCAUUCCUGUGCCCAGGAGUGUUGCUUGCAGACGGCUCUCUGCAAUGAAAUGAUAUCUUCUGAAAGUCACUCACAGUGAUAUGAGGCAUGGCCAGACCAGUGUGGUUGUUUAUCAAAUUAUGAUUUGAAAAUCAUUAGAUGCAUGCUUGCAGACUGUUGCUGUUGAAUCCUCAGACCUGAGAUGUUUGUUGACCCACAUAUGAGAAUUGUUGAGUCCCAGCCUGAACCACUGAUUGAGCACCUGGGGAAAGGACCUGGUCAGCCCUGGGAGCACAGGUGAAGGCAAGAGACAAGAAGGGGUGGAGCCCAGCUGCACCUCUCAGCCUAUUUAAGGGCUGACUGCCAUUGGGGAAAGAUCUCUUUCUAGAGAUCCCUUCUUGGUGGAGCUUUCUUCUGUGAACCUGGAAUCUUCUGAUACAGCUCACCUACCUCUGUCUGCAAUGUGAGGAAGAGACAUGGGAACACAUUGCUGAAGAAAAAAAAGAAGAAAGGAAACAAACAGAAAAUUGAACUUGCCAGUAUUACCAUGGAGAGUGGUGUAACUGCAAAGGAACGGAUGUAUUUCAGCUCGAUGGGGACAAGUGUGCAAUUCUCUGGGCACGGUGGCUGAGCUGUAGUCAGCCUGUGCUGCGUGGGACCAGAUUCAUUAGCUUCGGUUCCCCUUGGUGCUCACUGCAGAGGAAAAGCUGCUCCUGGGUGCAGAUGUGGCAAUGAGACAGUCAGGAAUCUGCGUGAAAAGGACACGUAACAUGGUAAACGUGUUGAGGGGUCAGGACUGUUGAUUACAUGAGCAAAGCAGAGAGAAAGCAGCUGGUGUGGCAGAUAGAGCUGUAGGUCGGUGGGCAUCACCUUCAGGCUUUGUUUUCCAGCUGUAGCUGCACUGCCCGUGAGGGUGAGCUCUGGGCAGGUGUUUGUGGGCUGAUUAUUUGACUGUUUGAACCUCCUGCCUUGUCUCUGGCCUUGCCGAAAACCUGAAUGUAAUGUUGAAAUUGCAGUCUGUCACAGAACAAUAGUUUUCGACCUCCAUCAUGAUUGUCCUCUUAAAAGUAGCACAGAAGACUUUCAUGACAAGGCCAUUACUGUUGAAAGGACAAAGGGAAAGUAGUUAGUUGGCUGUGUUCGGAACUGGGUUAUCAAAUUAGCUUCAGUCACUUUCAAUUACAGAAUCUCAUGGUUUUGAAAUGAGUUCUAAAUGAGGGGCUAUAAUUCUUUGUCUGCAGUGAGCAAAAGAACAUAAUCAUCAUUAUUUAAUAGGAGCAUACAGUCUAGCUAGCUCCGGGAUAAGUUCGUCCAAAAGAAGAAAGCAUUCAAUUGGGAUGAGCAAGGGAAAAGAUUAUCAGCUGGCCAGACUUCAGUGCAUUUCUUUAGUCCUGCAGCUAUGGAAGUGACCUUGGGACUCGUCCAGGGGAGAUUCGCUUCCAGGGCCAUUCUGAACUUCUAGCUAAUGAAACAUAAAUACCAGAAAAAAUAGAGCAGUAGAAAUUGUCCUGUGUCGUUUCACCUGAAGUUUGGUCUUUGUUCUGCAGUGGCUCACCUAACUGUGGACAGGCACAUCUACUUAAGGAGCUUACGCUGCUUCUAGGGCAAAGAGAAACAGCUGUCACUGGAUUGUGAUGAGGUGGGGACACAAGUUUUGAGCACUGCUCAACAUAUUUUCAGGAAGAUGUUACAGAACAGAUGGUCAGUCCACAGAUGCUUUUCUCUUCCCGUUCACUGGAUUUCAAAGGGCAGAUCAGUUUGGCUCAAAUACCCGGGGAAAAAAUCGCCCUGCUGAAAUCAAGGGAAUUUUGCCAUUUAUUUCAACAGGUCAUUUCUGAAUCAACAUUGCCCUCAGGCUCAGGAAUGUGUUUAGAUUUACACACAAAUGAAAGCAACAGAGAAAUAAACCAUUUCUUUUCAAGUCCCACAGCUUUUAUUAAUUUGUUCGGUCCUUGUUCUGUACAUUAAAUUUAUUUUCAGCAAGAUUUCUAUUCUAUACAAGUUACAAAAUGGGUAUCUGGGGAAAACUCUCACCAUU